UGCCAGCAGCCGCGGUAAUACAGAGGGUGCGAGCGUUAAUCGGAAUUACUGGGCGUAAAGCGAGUGUAGGUGGCUCAUUAAGUCACAUGUGAAAUCCCCGGGCUUAACCUGGGAACUGCAUGUGAUACUGGUGGUGCUAGAAUAUGUGAGAGGGAAGUAGAAUUCCAGGUGUAGCGGUGAAAUGCGUAGAGAUCUGGAGGAAUACCGAUGGCGAAGGCAGCUUCCUGGCAUAAUAUUGACACUGAGAUUCGAAAGCGUGGGUAGCAAACAGGAUUAGAUA
Molecule: ribosomal RNA, 280 nt
Filed under: uncultured bacterium
Lineage: Bacteria
Description: partial 16S ribosomal RNA
Rfam family: Bacterial small subunit ribosomal RNA
Source: RNAcentral